UUUUAUGAGAGUUUGAUCCUGGCUCAGGACGAACGCUGGCGGCGUGCCUAAUACAUGCAAGUCGAACGCUUCUUUUUCCACCGGAGCUUGCUCCACCGGAAAAAGAGGAGUGGCGAACGGGUGAGUAACACGUGGGUAACCUGCCCAUCAGAAGGGGAUAACACUUGGAAACAGGUGCUAAUACCGUAUAACAAUCRAAACCGCAUGGUUUUGAUUUGAAAGGCGCUUUCGGGUGUCGCUGAUGGAUGGACCCGCGGUGCAUUAGCUAGUUGGUGAGGUAACGGCUCACCAAGGCCACGAUGCAUAGCCGACCUGAGAGGGUGAUCGGCCACAUUGGGACUGAGACACGGCCCAAACUCCUACGGGAGGCAGCAGUAGGGAAUCUUCGGCAAUGGACGAAAGUCUGACCGAGCAACGCCGCGUGAGUGAAGAAGGUUUUCGGAUCGUAAAACUCUGUUGUUAGAGAAGAACAAGGAUGAGAGUAACGGUUCAUCCCUGGACGGUAUCUAACCAGAAAGCCAGGGCUAACUACGUGCCAGCAGCCGCGGUAAUAAGUAGGAGGCAAGCGGUGUCCGGAAUUAUUGGGCGUAAAGCGAGGGCAGGCGGUUUCUUAAGGCUGACGAGCAAGCUCCCGGCUCAACCGGGGAGGGUCAUUGGA
Molecule: ribosomal RNA, 658 nt
Filed under: Enterococcus faecium
Lineage: Bacteria; Bacillati; Bacillota; Bacilli; Lactobacillales; Enterococcaceae
Description: bacterial SSU rRNA
Rfam family: Bacterial small subunit ribosomal RNA
Source: RNAcentral